Molecule: long non-coding RNA, 1680 nt
Filed under: Mus musculus (house mouse)
Lineage: Eukaryota; Metazoa; Chordata; Mammalia; Rodentia; Muridae
Description: long non-coding RNA chr7:119896692-119898372
Source: RNAcentral
UGAAUGGUGUGGUGAGAAGGCCUCUUCCAGGUUUAAGAGGAAAAGAGAAUGGGAGAAGGAACUGCCUUGUGGGUAACAUUUUAAACAAAAGGCAGACGAGAAAGAAGUCUUGGAGUUGCAGAAAUAGCAAGGUUUUGGCCUUUGUAUUACUUCCCUGAAGUGUAAUGAAUGACCAAACCUUAAUUUACAUUUAAAAAAAUUGCUGCUGGAUAAAAGAAGGUAGUUAAAGGGCUGUUGCUAAGGCCAUGAGAGAUGACAGUGGUGGAAACAUGGAAAUUAAGAGAAUUGAUUCAUAAUGUAUUUGGGAGCUUGAGCAUUCCAGACUGAAUGCUGAACUGGAUACGAAAUGUAUGGGAGAAUGUGAAACCAAAGAUGUUUCUCUAGAGAAAACAGUUUGGGAAGGAAUCUCCUAUGCUCUCUGGAACGUAUGUCCAGAGUCAUUUUACAGCCCAUGAAGAUGUCCAGAAAUGAGACGGACAAGCUGGAAGACAAGUCAUGGUUGGAGAUAAUAAAUGUGGGGUUUAUUCCUAGACCCUGGAAUAGGUAGUAGAUGAGAAAGAGCCCCAAAUUCUUUAGAUCUCACAUUUAGAGACCACCAAGAAGGGUACAAGCCAGUAGGAAGCUCAAUAAGAACACCUCAAAAAUAAGGAGUCCCCCUUAAUAUCGUUAAACAAUAGUAUCCACCCUCACAAUCAGUGAGAGUCACCUUUUGAGGGCCUCAAAUCUCUUCCUGCUCUCCCAGCUGUCAAAGCUUUUGGACUUGGUGUACAAGAAUGUGUGUGCACUCCUGAUUUCCUUGAUAAAUGUUGGUUUACAUGAGCCCAUUGGGAUCUAUUUUGUCAUAUCUUCGUAGGAACACCUUAUACGAUACCAGCCCUGGAAUUCUUGUUUGGUUUGUUGUGUGAUUGUGCAUGUUUUCUUUCUCAUGUGUUAUAGACCGAGCUAGCCUCAAACUCAAGAGAUCCACCUGUCUCUGCCUCCCUGUCUGGAGGGCUGGAAUUAAAAGGUGUGCACGACCACACCCAUCUCAGCCUUGGAAUUCUUACAAAAGGAGUUUUGUCCCUGCUGCUACCGAUGCCACUCACAUAGUGAAUCUCAAUGAAAAGGGUAUCUGAAGGGCUGGGUUUCAUUCUUGGAUCUGCUGGGUGGCCUUGGAAAAGGUCCUGUUCUUCGAAUUGAUAGGGUUGGCCUAGAUUAAAAGUUGCAAGCUGGCAAGACAGAUAAUGCCUGCAAGCAUAGUGUUCAGCCCGCAGCAUGAUUUAAAUUCUUCUUUCUUAGACUAUGCUUGCCAGUUUUUAAAAAUUGAACAUCAGAAUCCAGAUUUUUGGCUUCAUUAGGAAAAUCGGACAGUCUGGCAACACCAGUCUGAGGUUCCUAGAAUCCUACACAGCUGAAACUGCAGAGUUGCUUAUCCUUUGUUUGUGGCUUAUGCCCCAAGUGAGCCAUAAGCAUCUCCCCUCACACCCACUCCCAAGCUGACAUUUGAUUUGUAAUUGACCUGAGAACCUUGCUGUCUGUAUGUAGCUACUUAACACAUGUGACUAAGUUUAAAUAACAGUUCUUAGACACAUAUUCCAGAUGUUCAGUAGCUGCAUGUGGCUGGUCUCUGCCCUGUUGGGUAAAUCAGACAGAAGAGUUUUACCAUAAACUGUUCUUUUGUUCAAUGUUGGAUUGAAACAC